RNAcentral lists this long non-coding RNA (212 nucleotides) under Olea europaea (common olive). RNAcentral's name for it is "long non-coding RNA (OEUR_LNC012785)". Lineage: Eukaryota; Viridiplantae; Streptophyta; Magnoliopsida; Lamiales; Oleaceae. The record is from RNAcentral.
GACGGAUGAUGAGGCAACAACAAGGAAUGCCACAUCCCAAAGCGCCUCUAUUACUCAAGGUAGCCAAUCAGAACGUCCUCAAGGGUAGUAAAGAGACUGGUACAGAUGAAUCAAUGAAGGAACUGCCAGAAACCUCUUCUGGGAGGUCAAGGUUUGAGAGGGACAAAAAGGACGAAGAAGAUCCAGAUCAGCCCCUUGCUAUCCAAUUCGGU